This 922-nucleotide ribosomal RNA is filed under the name uncultured archaeon. RNAcentral describes it as "bacterial SSU rRNA". It matches the Rfam family "Archaeal small subunit ribosomal RNA", at positions 1 to 923 of the family's 1478-position model. The record is from RNAcentral.
UUCCGGUUGAUCCUGCCAGAGGUUACUGCUAUCGGAGUUCGAUUAAGCCAUGCGAGUCUAAAGGUUUCUUCGGAAACCUUGGCGGACUGCUCAGUAACACGUGGAUAACCUACCCUUGGGACUGGAAUAACCCCGGGAAACUGGGGAUAAUACCGGAUAGAUCAGGGAUGCUGGAAUGCACCUUGAUCCAAAGCUCCGGCGCCCAAGGAUGGGUCUGCGGCCUAUCAGGUAGUAGUGGGUGUAACGUACCUACUAGCCAACGACGGGUACGGGUUGUGAGAGCAAGAGCCCGGAGAUGGAUUCUGAGACACGAAUCCAGGCCCUACGGGGUGCAGCAGGCGCGAAACCUUUACAAUGUGCGAAAGCAUGAUAAGGGAACUCCGAGUGCCAGUAUCUAAUACUGGCUGUCCUUGUGCCUAAAACGCACAAGAUAGCAAGAGCCGGGUAAGACCGGUGCCAGCCGCCGCGGUAACACCGGCGGCCCGAGUGGUAGCCGCUAUUAUUGGGUCUAAAGGGUCCGUAGCCGGUUCGAUAAGUCCUCUGGGAAAUCUGGUUGCUUAACAAUCAGACUGCCAAGGGAUACUGUCGAACUUGAGACCGGGAGAGGUAAGAGGUACUUCAGGGGUAGGAGUGAAAUCUUGUAAUCCCUGGGGGACCAUCUGUGGCGAAGGCGUCUUACCAGAACGGGUCUGACGGUGAGGGACGAAAGCUGGGGGCGCAAACCGGAUUAGAUACCCGGGUAGUCCCAGCCGUAAACGAUGCUCGCUAUGUGUCAGGUACGGUGUGACCGUAUCUGGUGCCGUAGGGAAGCCGUGAAGCGAGCCACCUGGGAAGUACGGCCGCAAGGCUGAAACUUAAAGGAAUUGGCGGGGGAGCACUACAACGGGUGGAGCCUGCGGUUUAAUUGGAUUCAACGCCGGGA